CCAUUCCAGUUUUACUCUUAAAACCGGAAGAGGGAAAAUCUCGUUUUAAUAAAAUGGUGCCAAUCAAAUACGAGGCGGUAGGAGAAAACAGACAACUUUUAAUUGUGCACCGGGAAGUUUAUGGAACACGCCCACUUAAGUGCUCUCACAAAGCGCCUAACAGGUGGCAUAAGUAGCUUUAAAGAAAAUGGGGGGGGGGAGACUCCUCAUUUUAGUUUUAGCAACUGAAGAAUUGAAGGAAAGAAGGUCGUCUAAAGGACCAACAAAUACCCCAGAGGUCGGAUCAAACAACAGCAAGCAGGACGACCCGACGUCUCAGGCGCUCCCGUGUGUCCCAACAGAGCAGCAGACUUACUGAACUGAACCUCUGAGGUUGGGACCCAAGAACUGCAACUUGACAAGCUCUUCAGUUGAUCCUUGUGGUGAUCCUGACAUUUGAGAACCACUGCUGAACAUGAAAGAGGGAAAAUCAGAGUCCAAACGCUUCGAAUACUACUAGAUUAACAAGAAAUGCCUAAGUUAUUGGUUAUCUUCUCCCAUCUGAUCCCAAGAAGCCUGGCAAGCAGCUCAUUAGAUGAGUCUCUUCAGAAAAAACAUGACAAGUGUAAGGGACAUAUUGAAAGGGACAUAGAAAUUCCUUGGAUCUUCGCCCACCCUACUACCUCUCUCAUAUCAACAUGACUUAAAAGUAAUAUUUGAACAAAGGAAUAUUUCUCUUCUAUAUACAAUGUUUGGUUUUUACAGAAUGUAAGGGGAAAAGACCCUAAAAGAUGCCUUAACUUACAUCUACCCAUUUUGUUUGUUCUUUUGUAUGUAUACAUUUAUAUCAUUUUGAUCUUUUAAAUAAAUCAAAAUCCAUCAGGCUAUUAAUCUUACAGUGAUUUUUGAACAUGUUAUUACCAACAUUAUAAAAUCAUUUUCAUAGUUACAUCAACAUGGAGUCCUGUGAACAUAUACUUUGAUGAUUUAUAUUUUUCCAUUAAAAAAUUGCUUUUAUUUAGUUAUAAUUUUCAUUAUGUAUAAUCAUAAUGCAUUUAUAUUUUCAUUAUGUAAAUGCAUUUGAAUCUUGGCCGGUAUAUAUACCUGUGAAACAUCCCUACAAACACGAUGUAGAAUAUUUCUAUAAUCCCCAAAACUGUUCUGUCUGUUCACAUUCCAUGCUGUUUCUCAGCCCCAGACAAACCAUUGAUCUACUCUUAAUUAUAAUCCAUUAGUUUGUAUUUUCCAAAAUUUUAAUUGAAUGAAGUCUUACAGUAUGUACUAUUUUGCGUCUGACUUUCUUCAUGUAGCGAAAUAAGUUUCAGAUCAUCUAUGUUGUAUACAUCAGUAGUCUGUUUCUUUCUGUUGCUGAGAAUUAUUCCAUUACACAGAUGUAACUUUUUUUUACCUCAUUUACCUCUGAAUAGACAUUUGUUUUUUUAUCCCCACUUUUUAGCUAUUGUGAAUAAAUUUGCUAUAGAAAUUCACAUAUCAACAUUUUUUGUGAAUGUUUAUUUUUAUUUCUAAUGGGUAAAUACCUAGAAAUGAAAUGACUAGAUCAUAAGGUUGGUUGUAUUUUAAACAAAUUAACUUUCUGAUUUUGCAACAACAGUGUAUGUGAUAUCCAGUUGUUUAAAACCUUUGUUCAUACUUUACAUUUUAAUUUAGCCAUUCUAAUGGCGAGUAGUGAUUUCUCCCUGUGGUUUUUGUUUGCACUUACCCUGAUGAUUAAGGCAUCUUCUUGAUGUUAUGCAUCUUUUCAUGUGAUUGUUGACCAUUUUGUAUAUCUUCUUUUGUAACAUACAUUCAACUCUUUAACCUAUUUUUUAAUUAAUUGUCUGCGUAUUAUUGGGUGAUAAAGAUUAAGUAUAUUUUCUGAAUAGAAAUUCUUCAUAAGAUAAAUGUAUUAUGAAUAUUGUCUCAUCCUUUGGUUUACCUUUUUGUUGUCUUAGUAUUGUGCUUUAAAAUAUAAAAGUUUUUAGUUUCUAUAAAGUCCAGUUUAUAAUAUUUUUUCCUUUAGAUAUUAUAUUUUUGUGUCCUAUCUAAGCAGGUUUUUGUCUCCUUCAAAGUGGCAAACUUUACUUCUAUGUUUUUUUCUAGAUGUUUUGUAAUUCUAGCUUUUCUAUUUAAGUAUUUGAAUGAUUUGGAGCUAAUUUAGGUAUGCGGUGUGAGACACAGUUAAAUGUUCACUUUUUUCCUGUAUGAAUAGCCAAUCAUUCUAGCACUAUUUGUUCAAAGACUUUCUUUACUCAUUGAAUUGUUUUGACAUGUUUGUCAAAAACAAUAUAGCUUAUAUGUGUAGAUCUAUUUCUAGAUUCUGUAUUCUGUUUCAUUGAUCUAUCUAUAUGUCUAUCAUUUCACCAAUACCACACUAUCUUGAUUACUAGAGAUAUAGAUAAAGUCUUAAGAUUAGUUUGACCUAUAAUUUAGUUCUCCCUUCUAAACAUCGCUUUGGCUUUUCUAGGUCAUUUGCAUUUACAUAUAUAAUUUUGCAUCA
This is a long non-coding RNA of Prionailurus viverrinus (fishing cat), 2476 nucleotides long. RefSeq lists it as uncharacterized. The transcript has 3 exons. The record is from RefSeq and is a predicted model, not a curated record. NCBI's taxonomy places the organism in Eukaryota, Metazoa, Chordata, Mammalia, Carnivora, Felidae.